Long non-coding RNA from Athalia rosae (coleseed sawfly), 1376 nucleotides. RefSeq lists it as uncharacterized. The transcript has 2 exons. The record is from RefSeq and is a predicted model, not a curated record. Lineage: Eukaryota; Metazoa; Arthropoda; Insecta; Hymenoptera; Athaliidae.
GUGAUUGCGGCCAAAGUGCCUUCACGCGUUGCUUCUGGUGCAGAGAAUAUUUAUGUUUUGAAUGUUACUAUGAUAGGUACCAUCCCGACGAAUGCGCUACAUAUUGUUGAAUUAAUCGGGAGAUAAUGUAAUAAUAAACAUAAAAAUCAAUAAUGAUAAUAAGGAACGUUCGCGCAGCAUACUUUGACGAAGAAUUUGAAAAAAAAAAAAAACAUUUCUGACCGGACUCGAACCCGGAACAUCAAUUCUCGAAGCUGUCACGCUAGCCGCUGCACCGCUGAUCUGCUUGUACAAAUGGCGCGCGGCCAGACUCAUGAAGCAACGUCAAAAUUUUACGUGUUUCAAUCGUAAUUUUCUCGAAAACGGUUGAGUGUCUACGGAUAAGCCGAAACACGUAUCCGUUUUUUUUUGCUAUUCUUCCAUCCUGUGAAGUUUCGUCAAAAUCGGUGGGUGGCACUUGGCAAGGUCUCCUUUCAGAUAGAGGUCGAGGCUCCGGUCCCAGCUCUGAUCGCCCGGCCCCCUGUGCUUGCGCGGUCGUGCUCCAAAUCCCCGCGACCGUUCACAUUAGCGGAGGAUCUCUCCAGAUCCUCCACUAUUUAAGGGAAGAGGAGGCGGGGCGCUUAGCCAGAUACCGUGGGAUGGCGGUAUGGAAUGAGCUCGCGGCGAACGAACUAAUACCGGGGAGGUCGGCGCACACAUUGAGCGGCCGUUUCAGAAAGGUACUGCUGAACCGGAUAGAGGAUUAUUCGAAGCUUCCCGAUAGUGUUCGAGCGGCGGUGAUCGCCGAGCGGGACGACCAGCUGUAGGUUAAGUUAGGUUUUGUUAACAAUAAGUCAAGUUAUUUUGAUCGACCGUAAGAUUAACAGGCAAUUUAAAAAAAUUAUUCCCGUCUAGGAUACCAAACGUGCGCGUGAAGGAAAAAAAAAACAGAGGCUCAGAUAGAGGUCGAGGCUCCGGUCCCAGCUCUGAUCGCCCGGCCCCCUGUGCUUGCGCGGUCGUGCUCCAAAUCCCCGCGACCGUUCACAUUAGCGGAGGAUCUGCAGAUCCUCCACUAUUUAAGGGAAGAGGAGGCGGGGCGCUUAGCCAGAUACCGUGGGAUGGCGGUAUGGAAUGAGCUCGCGGCGAACGAACUAAUACCGGGGAGGUCGGCGCACACAUUGAGCGGCCGUUUCAGAAAGGUACUGCUGAACCGGAUAGAGGAUUAUUCGAAGCUUCCCGAUAGUGUUCGAGCGGCGGUGAUCGCCGAGCGGGACGACCAGCUGUAGGUUAAGUUAGGUUUUGUUAACAAUAAGUCAAGUUAUUUUGAUCGACCGUAAGAUUAACAGGCAAUUUAAAAAAAUUAUUCCCGUCUAGGAUACCAAACGUGCGCGUGAAGG